UCGGGAAUUUUGGGCAAUGGGCGAAAGCCUGACCCAGCAACGCCGCGUGAGGGAUGAAGUAUUUCGGUAUGUAAACCUCGAAAGAAUGGGAAGAAUAAAUGACGGUACCAUUUAUAAGCUCCGGCUAACUACGUGCCAGCAGCCGCGGUAAUACGUAGGGAGCAAGCGUUGUUCGGAUUUACUGGGCGUAAAGGGCGCGUAGGCGGCGCGGUAAGUCACUUGUGAAAUCUCUGAGCCUAACUCAGAACGGCCAAGUGAUACUGCUGUGCUAGAGUGCGGAAGAGGCAACCGGAAUUCUUGGUGUAGCGGUGAAAUGCGUAGAUAUCAAGAGGAACACCUGAGGCGAAGGCGGGUUGCUGGGCCGACACUGACGCUGAUGCGCGAAAGCCAGGGGA
RNAcentral lists this ribosomal RNA (395 nucleotides) under uncultured bacterium. RNAcentral describes it as "bacterial SSU rRNA". It matches the Rfam family "Bacterial small subunit ribosomal RNA", at positions 355 to 767 of the family's 1533-position model. The record is from RNAcentral.